Molecule: ribosomal RNA, 491 nt
Filed under: uncultured bacterium
Lineage: Bacteria
Description: partial 16S ribosomal RNA
Rfam family: Bacterial small subunit ribosomal RNA
Source: RNAcentral
GGUGAACGCUGGCGGUAGGCCUAACACAUGCAAGUCGAACGGCAGCACAGUAAGAGCUUGCUCUUACUGGUGGCGAGUGGCGGACGGGUGAGUAAUACAUCGGAAUCUACUUUUUCGUGGGGGAUAUCGUAGGGAAACUUACGCUACUACCGCAUACGUCCUACGGGUUAAAGCAGGGGUUCUUCGGACCUUUCGUGAUUUAAUGAGCUGAUGUCGGAUUGGCUAGUUGGCGGGGUAAAGGCCCACCAAGGCGACGAUCCGUAGCUGGUCUGAGAGGAGGAUCAGCAACACGGGAAAGAGGAAAAGGACCAAAAUCCUAAGGGAGGCAGCAGUGGGAAACAUUGGAGAAGGGGCGGAAGCGUAAUCCGGACAUACGGCGUAGGUGAAGAAGGCCGUCGGGUUGUAAAGCCCUUUUGUUGGGAAAGAAAAACAGCAGGUUAAUACCGCGCUGAUCUGACGGAACCAAAAAAAUAAGCACGGGCUAACUUGGG